This 531-nucleotide long non-coding RNA is filed under the name Parus major (Great Tit). RNAcentral's name for it is "lncRNA (ENSPMJG00000004495.1)". Lineage: Eukaryota; Metazoa; Chordata; Aves; Passeriformes; Paridae. The record is from RNAcentral.
AUGUCCCUGAGAAGCCUUCAGGGUGACGGAGAUGUCCCCAAAGCCACCGUGGUGCUCAUGGGAUGUCCCCAAGGGUCCACCAGGGUGACAGGGAUGUCCCCAAAGCCACCGUGGUGUCCAUGGGAUGUCCCCAAAAGUCACCGUGGUGUCCAUGGGAUGUCCCCAAAGCCACCAUGGUGUCCAUGGGAUGUCCCCAAAGCCACCCUGGUGUCCGUGGGAUGUCCCCAAAGCCACCGUGGUGUCCAUGGGAUGUCCCCAAAGCCACCGUGGUGUCCAUGGGAUGUCCCCAAAAGUCACCGUGGUGUCCAUGGGAUGUCCCUGAGAAGCCACCGUGGUGUCCAGGGGAUGUCCCCAAAGCCACCGUGGUGUCCAUGGGAUGUCCCCAAAGCCACCGUGGUGUCCAUGGGAUGUCCCCGAGGAGCCUCCAGGGGGUCCCAAAGUUGACCAAUUAAAGGAUUUCACCCCAAAUCUGGAGUGGCCUCCUCAGGGCUGGGGACAACGGAGAGCUCUGGGGACAUCAGAGAGCUCUGG